CCUACGGGGGGCUGCAGUGGGGAAUAUUGGACAAUUGGGGCAACCCUGAUCCAGCCAUGCCGCGUGUGUGAAGAAGGCCCUCGGGUUGUAAAGCACUUUCAGUGAGGAAGAACGCCUGGUGGUUAAUACCCAUCAGGAAAGACAUCACUCACAGAAGAAGCACCGGCUAACUCCGUGCCAGCAGCCGCGGUAAUACGGAGGGUGCGAGCGUUAAUCGGAAUUACUGGGCGUAAAGCGCGCGUAGGUGGCUUGAUAAGCCGGUUGUGAAAGCCCCGGGCUCAACCUGGGAACGGCAUCCGGAACUGUCAAGCUAGAGUGCAGGAGAGGAAGGUAGAAUUCCCGGUGUAGCGGUGAAAUGCGUAGAGAUCGGGAGGAAUACCAGUGGCGAAGGCGGCCUUCUGGACUGACACUGACACUGAGGUGCGAAAGCGUGGGUAGCAAACAGGAUUAGAUACCCGUGUAGUC
This 465-nucleotide ribosomal RNA is filed under the name Vreelandella stevensii. RNAcentral describes it as "partial 16S ribosomal RNA". It matches the Rfam family "Bacterial small subunit ribosomal RNA", at positions 338 to 795 of the family's 1533-position model. Lineage: Bacteria; Pseudomonadati; Pseudomonadota; Gammaproteobacteria; Oceanospirillales; Halomonadaceae. The record is from RNAcentral.